Panicum virgatum (switchgrass) is the source of this 842-nucleotide long non-coding RNA. RefSeq lists it as uncharacterized. The record is from RefSeq and is a predicted model, not a curated record. The transcript is spliced from 3 exons. Lineage: Eukaryota; Viridiplantae; Streptophyta; Magnoliopsida; Poales; Poaceae.
UCAGAUCGUGGGUUGCGGCGCCCGCUCCCCUGCCUGCGCCGCCGGCUCCAGCGACUCCUUGCGUCUCUGGCGCCCGUCACGCCCCUCCUCCCGCGCCGCACCCUACUAGCGACGUCGCUCUCCUCCUCCCGGCGUGCCCAUCGCCGCCACCGCCCCCGCCAAUCCCGGCGAGUCCCACACGAUUGGUCUGCUGGUGAUGCCCUCUGCAGCUCCAUCUCCGUCCCAUCUUGUCGAUCCACGACCAUCCUACAUUUCUGGAGAUCGAGGAUGAAUUUGGCACCGAGGCACUGACGCCCUCGAUGGAUCGUGAUGCGGUUGUGGAAGAGGCUCGGCAGUGUCUAGGACCGGGGGCAUACAGAGGCGCGGCGCGAUGACAGCUCGAUUGCGGCGCCGUGCAGAAGCCCCAUAGGCCCCUUAUGGCAUUCCACGGCCACCUCCCAUCUGCUGAUUGAAGAUUGAUGCUUCAAACAGUCGUUUCCCCUAUUUCUGCAACCUUAAUUAGCAGCUGCUACAUGGCGCACCCGAUGGCUUGCUGACGGCCUCCCUAUGAUGCUGAGGACGCAAAUCCACUUUGAUGCUGGCGACGUGUUGUCCUGUGCAAGAUCAAGAACAAAACAUCAAAUGCGUAUUGCAUAAAGCACGAGAGCAACAAAUUACUUGUGUUGAUCUUGAUCCACCGCGGAAGAGGGUUUGGACUCGACCGGAGCACUGCGGUAGACAGGACGCAGGCCCUGGGAACCCCCGGCAUGCUCCACGCUCAUGGACGGAGCGGACACCAUACAGGCGCAGGUGGAGAUGUAUACCCUGCGUCGCAGCUUUGUCUCUUGCAUGAUUCAUCCAGG